UUGGCUAUUGGCCAGAAAGGGGGAAAAUAAUAAAAAGGGUAAAGACUCUUCUUCUGGAAAAAGGGAAAAAAUUUCUUCAUUUCCCCAUCCAAUUGUGAAAUUCAUCACUACACCACUUCUUUCGCCUCCGCUAAUCCUCUCUGUUCAUCUUCACCACCACCGUAAAAACUCCAUAACCUCCUUGAACCUCCCUCAAAAUUUCCCUCACUCCCCACACCACAAAACCUUCUUCUUCUUCACAAUAACAAACAACCCACAACAAUAACAUCUACGACCGCCGUCGAUAACCUCCAAUUACAUCCGCGAUCGCCUCCUAACCUUCUCCUAGCCACCGCCGUGAAUCCGCCUCUCACCACCAACCAACGGUGCUCACUACUCCAUCUUCUCCCUCAACUCACCACCGUGAAACACCACCACUCACCUCCUUCUCCGAACAAUCCACCUCCGUCUCCGUCAUCGAUAACCGUAACACCGUCGUUGCAUAACCCACAUUUUCACCGUCGAAAAUCCAUUCUUCUUCCUACAUUCACACAUCACCCUGUUUUUUUCUAGCAAACUGCAUAUCUAUCUAUCCAUUCUCCAUACGAAACGAAGUCUCCACAGAUUUGAACAAAAACAAGUUAUUCAAUAAAUCAAGCUUGGUUCAGAUCUGGAUAACGGCUCGCAACGAGGAUUUGAAGAGGAUGAACAAGAGUGAUUCGUGGCCAAAAUCUAUUGUGAGAGUGAAAGGUUAGAAUUUGUUCAAGCGAUUGCGUGCAGACUUCUCAUCAAAAUAAUAACAACAUUCGGCGUCAAGAUUAUAUGUGGUAAUAUUUUGGUUCCACUUUCUGUUAUAUUUGCUUUUUGUUCUGUUGUAUUUAAUUAUGUUGGUUGAUACUCUAUUGUUAUUAUUGUAUUCUGGUUUGUGGUUUGUAUAGUCUUCAUAAAGGUUUGCAUCAUGUUAAAGCUCCACAAACAAGAUUAUAUUCUACUACUAGUAAAUUUUGGAAUUUGUUUGAGUAGGUCCUAUUUGAUUUGAUACAAUUUUUACCUUUGCCUGGACUUAUUAAAUUAUAAUGACAGUUCUAUAGAAUGCAAGCUUUUUUU
Molecule: long non-coding RNA, 1086 nt
Organism: Lathyrus oleraceus (garden pea)
Lineage: Eukaryota; Viridiplantae; Streptophyta; Magnoliopsida; Fabales; Fabaceae
Exons: 2
Source: RefSeq, a predicted model, not a curated record